This 424-nucleotide long non-coding RNA is filed under the name Panicum hallii. RNAcentral describes it as "long non-coding RNA (PHAL_LNC000780)". Lineage: Eukaryota; Viridiplantae; Streptophyta; Magnoliopsida; Poales; Poaceae. The record is from RNAcentral.
UAACAUUUGACCUAGACCACACAUCAAAGAUCUCAACUCAAGAUCAUAACAUAAAACUUGUAGAGUUUGACUUAGGGUUUCAAACGAAACUGAUUUUACAUUUUUAUGAACUUCCUAUGAAAAUCUAUGAAAUGUAGAGGUCAUCGAUUUGAAAUACAGAAAGCUUUGGAAAUUUUACAAAGAACACCCUAGAACUUUCCAAAAUAUAGCAAUCAAGUCCCUGGUCCGGGAGAACAGAUAACAGGAAGUUAACGAUGAUAUUCCGGCAAAGGGAUUGCCGGCAUUAAAAGAAUUUAAUAAAACAGGGCAAACCUUGGGGUAGUCUUGGUUGUGGAGAAGAACAGACGGAAAGUGAAUUCCCGUGGCGAACAAGAUUAGCGAGGAGAAGAGCUCGACGGUGACGAAGAGUAGAAGUUGCUAAGUG